Molecule: long non-coding RNA, 925 nt
Organism: Anastrepha obliqua
Lineage: Eukaryota; Metazoa; Arthropoda; Insecta; Diptera; Tephritidae
Exons: 2
Source: RefSeq, a predicted model, not a curated record
UGCAUGCAAGGUAGCGGUUGUUGUAGUCCGCACUGUUGCACUUGUAAAUAUAUAGUGCCGUUUAUAGGCGUAUGAAGUUGUAUGACGUAAAAACACGUUACAGCCGUCUGAAGGACUGUUUGAAUUGAGGGCAAUGCGUACCUGCCAGAGACCGAGCGUACGGAGCGAACAAAAGGACUGACUGUUGCAACACCAUCCAGCUAGAUCUCACUAAACUUUUGGUCUACUAGUCCGUAUAAUUCAAAACCGUAUAAGUAAUACAAACAGAGGGGAGAAUUUAAAUACGAGCAAAUAUUACUUAACUAAAAUAAGCAGGAGGAUAACAUAAUUGAAGUUGCGAAAAAUUGCAAUUUUCUAACAGAAUCUAUACCAAAUAUAUCAUACACGGUGCUUAAAGGCCCACACAUACGUAUGUACAAUCAUCAAUCCAAUAACACUUAUAUAUACAUGAACAGCAUUUUGAAAAUAAUGCAGGCGUGGCACUUUCUAUGUAAAUAAUUAAGUCAUUAACUGUAAUUAAUAAAUAUUUUUAAUUCAAAGAUAUAUAGAUUUUUUUUUUAUUCAAACGGCUAAGAAGAAAUUUGAAAAAAUCAAAAAGUAGGAAUAGGUGGCAUAACUUAAAGAGGAACAAGUUUAGAGAUAUUUAAAUAUGUAUAUAGUUCAGUAGCGUUAGGAAACAAUAAAUUUGGUACGAUCCAAAAACCAACAACUACACAUAUUAGGGAACACGCAGCCGUACAUAAAUACACACAUAAAAACAAAUAACUGUAGUUAAACUUAAUCGAAACAAAGCCACACUAGUUGUAAAAAAUGUAAGUCAAAGAACUAAAAUUGUUUAAUGGGAAAACGUGUAAUUGUAAAACAUAUUGUAAAAAAUUGUAAGUGCGAAAUAAAUUAAAUUUUUAAAUUAAAAAAUUACGAAAUA